RNAcentral lists this ribosomal RNA (343 nucleotides) under Salmonella enterica. Its description in RNAcentral is "bacterial LSU rRNA". It matches the Rfam family "Bacterial large subunit ribosomal RNA", at positions 1 to 371 of the family's 2925-position model. The record is from RNAcentral. Lineage: Bacteria; Pseudomonadati; Pseudomonadota; Gammaproteobacteria; Enterobacterales; Enterobacteriaceae.
GGGUUGUGAGGUUAAGCGACUAAGCGUACACGGUGGAUGCCCUGGCAGUCAGAGGCGAUGAAGGGCGUGCUAAUCUGCGAUAAGCGCCGGUAAGGUGAUAUGAACCGUUAUAACCGGCGAUACCCGAAUGGGGAAACCCAGUGUGAUUCGUCACACUAUCAUUAACUGAAUCCAUAGGUUAAUGAGGCGAACCGGGGGAACUGAAACAUCUAAGUACCCCGAGGAAAAGAAAUCAACCGAGAUUCCCCCAGUAGCGGCGAGCGAACGGGGAGGAGCCCAGAGCCUGAAUCAGCAUGUGUGUUAGUGGAAGCGUCUGGAAAGGCGCGCGAUACAGGGUGACAGC